AAAGGAAUUGACGGGGGCCCGCACAAGCGGUGGAGCAUGUGGUUUAAUUCGAAGCAACGCGAAGAACCUUACCAGGUCUUGACAUCCUUUGACCACUCUAGAGAUAGAGCUUUCCCUUCGGGGACAAAGUGACAGGUGGUGCAUGGUUGUCGUCAGCUCGUGUCGUGAGAUGUUGGGUUAAGUCCCGCAACGAGCGCAACCCUUAUUGUUAGUUGCCAUCAUUUAGUUGGGCACUCUAGCGAGACUGCCGGUGACAAACCGGAGGAAGGUGGGGAUGACGUCAAAUCAUCAUGCCCCUUAUGACCUGGGCUACACACGUGCUACAAUGGGAAGUACAACGAGUCGCUAGGCCGCGAGGUCAUGCAAAUCUCUUAAAGCUUCUCUCAGUUCGGAUUGCAGGCUGCAACUCGCCUGCAUGAAGCCGGAAUCGCUAGUAAUCGCGGAUCAGCACGCCGCGGUGAAUACGUUCCCGGGCCUUGUACACACCGCCCGUCACACCACGAGAGUUUGUAACACCCGAAGUCGGUGAGGUAACCUUUUUGGAGCCAGCCGCCUAAGGUGGGAUAGAUGAUUGGGGUG
RNAcentral lists this ribosomal RNA (579 nucleotides) under Enterococcus faecalis. RNAcentral describes it as "bacterial SSU rRNA". It matches the Rfam family "Bacterial small subunit ribosomal RNA", at positions 903 to 1482 of the family's 1533-position model. The record is from RNAcentral. Lineage: Bacteria; Bacillati; Bacillota; Bacilli; Lactobacillales; Enterococcaceae.